GCCUACGGGGCGCAGCAGUGGGGAAUAUUGCACAAUGGGGGAAACCCUGAUGCAGCAACGCCGCGUGAAGGAAGAAGGCUUUCGGGUUGUAAACUUCUUUUAAGGGGGAAGAGCAGAAGACGGUACCCCUUGAAUAAGCCACGGCUAACUACGUGCCAGCAGCCGCGGUAAUACGUAGGUGGCAAGCGUUGUCCGGAUUUACUGGGUGUAAAGGGCGUGCAGCCGGAGAGACAAGUCAGAUGUGAAAUCCACGGGCUCAACCCGUGAACUGCAUUUGAAACUGUCUCCCUUGAGUGUCGGAGAGG
This 305-nucleotide ribosomal RNA is filed under the name uncultured bacterium. RNAcentral describes it as "bacterial SSU rRNA". It matches the Rfam family "Bacterial small subunit ribosomal RNA", at positions 337 to 657 of the family's 1533-position model. The record is from RNAcentral.